UACGUAGGUCCCGAGCGUUGUCCGGAUUUAUUGGGCGUAAAGCGAGCGCAGGUGGUUUAUUAAGUCUGGUGUAAAAGGCAGUGACUCAACCAUUGUAUGCAUUGGGAACUGGUAGACUUGAGUGCAGGAGAGGAGAGUGGAAUUCCAUGUGUAGCGGUGAAAUGCGUAGAUAUAUGGAGGAACACCGGUGGCGAAAGCGGCUCUCUGGCCUGUAACUGACACUGAGGCUCGAAAGCGUGGGGAGCAAACAGG
RNAcentral lists this ribosomal RNA (252 nucleotides) under uncultured bacterium. RNAcentral's name for it is "partial 16S ribosomal RNA". It matches the Rfam family "Bacterial small subunit ribosomal RNA", at positions 524 to 776 of the family's 1533-position model. The record is from RNAcentral.